This is a long non-coding RNA of Frieseomelitta varia, 1059 nucleotides long. RefSeq lists it as uncharacterized. The transcript has 3 exons. NCBI's taxonomy places the organism in Eukaryota, Metazoa, Arthropoda, Insecta, Hymenoptera, Apidae. The record is from RefSeq and is a predicted model, not a curated record.
CUUUGGAGCAGCAGUCGAGGCUCGUCCAUUGACGGAGUAACGUUCGUUGUUGUGGUUGUCGAUGCAAACAACGUGUUUACCAAUAAUCGCGAAACGAAACGUAACUCAACUCGAUCGUAAUCGUGCUACGCUCCAUGGAAACCGAUACUUCGACGUUUCUUUGACGUUACUUUGAUAUUUUAACUGGAAGUUUCUCCGCGAUCGCGUGUGUUUUGUUCGUUUGAUGUUUCGUUGGAACAGAGACUUCGAUUGAUCGACCGUGCUUUUUAAACGUGAUUCGCUUCCUUUUUGACCGAAGAAAGAGAGAAGAAGGGACUGGUCUCGUUGAUCCAGUGGAAAGAAGAAUAAAAGGAAAACAGUGUGCGCGACACCGAAGCGUAUCGCAAUUGAUCCAAGAUGAAGGUUUCCACCAGGUUUCCCUGAAAUAAACCUUCAAUCCUACUCGAGAAAACAAACCAAGGAUCCACCAGUGAAUCCACCAAGACAAAAUCAAUGCUGAAGGUUCGCCAUUUCGAAGAAUUUAUCAUGUCCUUGCAAGAAGCAAAAGGUUCGCGAUCAACGAGGCUCGUGAUCGAAGGUACUAACGAUCUAUCGAUUGGCACGUGUGUCGGCAAGCUGUUGGAAUGUUGGGGCGUUUGAUAAUUCGACUGUCCAACCGCGGAACGACCCACGUAAAUCAUGCCGUGGGUAAGACGUGUGAUCGCCGACACGUUAGCUGGUCGCUUAACGACGGCGAAAAAAGCUCGCCGGUGGAAAAAAGGGACCGCCUAGAGAGAGAUUCAUAGUGAUUGGAUAGAUACCUGUGAUUUUACCAUUUGUAAGAGAGAAAGGGAGGGGGAAGAGUAACCGUUUAUUGCGAAAGAGGUCGUUCGCGUUGCCAUCGAACGAUAUAAAAAGAAUUCGAUUGACGACCAAUCAGCUGGACCAACUGUGGGACCAUCCGGAACAGUGAGCACCGAAAUGAAGCUCGGGGAUAACAUGACUGUGAAAGCAUACAACAUAUGGGGCGGCGUUCCUCUACGAAAAUGUCGGUCAUCGAAGAUCGACAUCCCAAAGUGA